RNAcentral lists this ribosomal RNA (496 nucleotides) under uncultured bacterium. Its description in RNAcentral is "bacterial SSU rRNA". It matches the Rfam family "Bacterial small subunit ribosomal RNA", at positions 899 to 1397 of the family's 1533-position model. The record is from RNAcentral.
ACUCAAAGGAAUAGACGGGGGCCCGCACAAGCAGUGGAGUAUGUGGUUUAAUUCGACGCAACGCGAAGAACCUUACCAAGGCUUGACAUCCUGCUAACGAAGCAGAGAUGCAUUAGGUGCCCUUCGGGGAAAGCAGAGACAGGUGGUGCAUGGUUGUCGUCAGCUCGUGUCGUGAGAUGUUGGGUUAAGUCCCGCAACGAGCGCAACCCUUACGGUUAGUUGCUACGCAAGAGCACUCUAGCCGGACUGCCGUUGACAAAACGGAGGAAGGUGGGGACGACGUCAAAUCAUCAUGCCCCUUAAGUCUUGGGCUACACACGUACUACAAUGGCAAUUGAACAACGGGGAGCUAAGCCGCGAGGUGGAGCAAAUCCCAAAAAAUUGCCUCAGUUCAGAUUGCAGGCUGCAACCCGCCUGCAUGAAGUCGGAAUUGCUAGUAAUCGCGGAUCAGCAUGCCGCGGUGAAUACGUUCCCGGGCCUUGUACACACCGCCCGU